This 4895-nucleotide long non-coding RNA is filed under the name Anas zonorhyncha (Eastern spot-billed duck). Its description in RNAcentral is "lncRNA (ENSAZOG00000000483.1)". The record is from RNAcentral. Lineage: Eukaryota; Metazoa; Chordata; Aves; Anseriformes; Anatidae.
AUGGCUGAGGCCUUCAAGUACACAGGUGAUUGCCUGUUACAGCUGUUUUGCAAAGUGGGAGUCAAAAUGUUUAUGAAGGUCACCAUUAAAAAUACCGUACAAGAAGCAUGGACAACAGUGCUAAAUAAUACUGAGAAGAAAGGAGCCAAACAAGGAACAGAAAGCAACGGCUGCAGAAAAGCGAGAAAACAGAAAUGCAGCCAUCAGAAGCAGAACUCGGUUGUGGAGACUCACUUUAGACACCAGCUCCUCUGGCUGCUGCUCACCUGGGUCAUCUGCCACAGCCCCAGACCUGGCUGUAAGGUCCUUGGCACUCUCUGUCUGAGAAUUUGGGUAGACUGGAAAACAGGACAGGUCAUCAUCCCAUCCCCGUAGCUGAACCUGGAGAAUGGGGCCGGUGGGGUACGUGGAGUAGAUAGGUAGACGGCAUCACAGACGAACCCCCUAAUCACCAGUCCCAAAUAUUAUGUCACAACCCCCUAAUGAGGAUUAUCCAGAUGAGUCCCAGGUAAUCAUAGACUGCUGUUAACAUUAAAGUGAUUCCUGGGACUGAAACUCACUGUACCAAAUGAACUAAAAUGGCUGGUAUUAAUAAACUGACAAAUGCAAAUAAAAGAACACUUCUUUAAUCUCCUUCCAUUAAGGAAAGGGCAUGUGGUUUGAAUUAUGAUCAUAUAAACCACUGACUUCAGGCACUUUUUAAAGGGUUGUAGUCUGCAAAACUCAUUAGAAAAUUUAUGCUAUCAAAUAUUUGAAUAAAAUAUAAUGGGAAUAAAGAGUUAAAUACUGCCUUAAAAAAAAAAAAAAAAAAAAAAAAAAAAAAAAAAGGUUUUCUUUUAAUUUUUAAAAGGGAAAUUACACAAAANNNNNNNNNNNNNNNNNNNNNNNNNNNNNNNNAAUCUUCCUAAAAAAAAAAAAAAAAAAAAAAAAAAGUCACAAAUGGUUUCCUUUAAAUUUUACGAAGGUAAUUUCAGCAAAAAGAUUAAUAAAAUGGUUACUGGUGAAAGUUCUAAUCCUGCAAACAUGUAUGUGAUUAAUUAUCUUCCUGCAGAGACCAGGGGCCCUGUUCUUAGGAACAAAACUAAACAUGUUUGCAGAACCAGGGCUGUAAGCAAAUCCAUAUCUUCACUCAUACAGAUAUCCUCAUUGAUUUCAGCAGAAAUGUUUACACACAAAGUGAAGCACAGACUGAAGCAUUUAAGCACUGCAAGCUCAAAGUGCAUUUUUAUUGCAAGAAAGUAUUGCUGUUUCGAAAUACGCCAGUAAUUUUCAGAUCCAGGGUGUAUCUCCAAGCCAUUAGCAGAAUGGCUGUGUAUGCAGGCAGGCCAGAGUGAAGAGGUAAAGUUUGAUGUCUCCAUUGAUGACAUUUCCAAGUGUCCAUGCCAUUUGGGAUCACAAACCCAUUGAUUUCAAUAUUCUGACCCUGCUGAAGGAGAACAGCUCCCCAGACAUUUCAGCUUAUUUGACAUGCUGAACCUGAAUAUUUUGGAAAUUGAUAUUGAGUACAGAAGCAGCCUGGUGUAUACAGCUGAGCCAGCUCCAAUGAAGAGAAACCCUUCUAGAGACCUGGGUGGGAGCUGGAACAGGCCCUAUAUUCUUAUUGCUUUAAAGAUGGAGCUUGUGCUGUUCUCACAGAAGGGAUGCUAAUAAGACCUUGGGCUAGUCUUUCUCCAGCCAAAUUCAAAAAGCGUGCAAACUUAAAGGAAAACAAUUGAACAAACAAAUACAAAAGUUCCACGUUGGUAAUUUAAAACCAGAAGACAAGAAGAAAGCAAUAAAAUGGUUGUGUAGAUAGAACUGAGAUGCCAUUUAUGUUGGCAUCAAUACCAAACAUGAUAGUCACUAAAUUAUCAUAGUUGCCUAUAUUAAAAACAUCUGCAGACUCACAAGAUGCUUCAGCUGUUUCCACAAGAUAUUUUAGCUGUAACCAUGCAGUUCUUAUGUUCUCUGUGUGAGUCACAUUGGUUUGUAAAAUCUCUUCUUCAUUCAUGAGAUUUUAACAAUAGACAUCAAGUGUCUCAGGGGUCUUCAGAGUAAGCAAGUGCCUAAUUUUGCACUUAGUGUAGAUGAUCUUUAAAUCCAGGUUCUGUGUACACCUGCCUGGCCCUGUAGCUUAAGACAAAACAAAACAAAAAUACCAAACCCAACAACUGUUAAUUUCAAUUAAACCACUCUGCAAAACACAUAGAGAUUCAUAUCACAUGCUUGUAUCAGAAUGAUUUUCUCAUCUUUAAUUUAACAGCUAUGACAUGUUUGUAUAGACCUGUUUUUAGAUUCAGAACAACUAAACUAUAUGCUCGAGGUUACACUGGGAACCUAUAGAAAAGCCAGCUCUCUCCUCUUCCAGCAUUAUGGACUAUUCAUCAGAUUAUGCUGAGUCUUAGAUGGGAAAACCUCCAGGGGAGGAUUUUUAUUAGCACAUUCUGCCUUCUGCAAAUUACUAUGGUAUGAUCAUAAUGCCUUUGUGCUUUUGUCUACCUACUGGUAGUAUUUAGAAAGUGCCUAUUGCUCUUGAGUCUAGAGUUGCAUAAACAACAAAAAUAAUAAUUAAUAACUUUUGCAAUUAUCUUCUGCCAAAUGAAAUCUCAUGUUCAGCUUCAACUGGAUACAUUCAUCUGUCUUAAGAUGUUGUCUAGGGUUGCUGUGCACUAUCUAACUGGUGGUACAUUCCUUCCCAAAGGUGGCUCUUUGGGAAACUUUGAAGCUCUAUAAAUAGAAUAUAUUAGUAUUAUUAUUACUGGAAGAGGGGCAGGACUGCAGCAUUUCACCCCUAGGGGACAGAGACGCUCAAGAACACUUGUUUCAGCAUUUGAAUGUGCGGAUGGUUCACAAUUGGUGAUAUGAAGGAGAGAAAAUGCUCUAGCACAAAACAUCCUGUAAAAGCAAGAAGAAAUUCAGCAUAUGAAAUUCAUCAUGUUCAGCCCUGGCCUUUCACACUUUUACACUGCCCAUUUAGGCUUUCUUUCUCAACAGUGGAGGCUGACAGACACCUCUAGGAGGUCUGAAAUGUCUUUCUUCCUGCAGGAGGAAUCACAGUCUCAAGGCGCCAGGUCCUCCUCAAACCUGGAACUGAGACACCUAAAGAGAGGUGGCAGGGCCUUGGGCCCCCAGCAAGGGAACUGCGACCCAGCACUCUCCAGAGCAAAGAAAUACAAAUGAAAGGUGCACAAGAGGAGAGGAGAGGAGAUAUAAAGGGAGCGGGGACACUGGGAAAGUGUUACAAAAACAAGGAAAGGGAAAAACUAAGAGCAACAAAAGAGCAACAGGCAUUGUUUUUUUGGCUUCUAAACUUUGCAGGUCUGAACCUGUUUCUGUUGGCUCCUAGCAAAUUCUCUCUGCCAGGAAAUAUGAACAUAUUAAGAUUAUACAGGCUUGGAAGAAGGAUACUGAAUUAAUCAGUUAGGCAUUCUCUUCUAGGUUCCUUCAUUUCAGCCUCCUCAGCAAGCCACAGUGAGCCUUCACCUGCCCGGACACCUGCGAGCGCAGGGCAAGCAUUGUACCUCCGUCUGCCUUUGCCAUCAACUUUUGCUUUCACACAGAAGUGUUGAUCCUGACCACUGCAGUGCAAUUAGUUUGGAGCUAAGCUAAAAAAAAGGAAUAGAGAAGGUGGACAAGACAGAUCACUACCUCUGGUUAGCAGUAACUUCACACAACCAAAGGACGUGAUAUCUCACUUCAGAAUCAGGCAGGAAGCAGUGUUUUACCCAGAAAGAUGAGCAGAAGAGAUACGUACCCCGCUGUCCUUGCAGAGAAAACGUGCCGACAGCCUCCUGCCCCCAUGCCAGCCAGUGCUGCGUGUCGCAGUGCUCAGUGUGACCCCUCUGACACAAUCGGGUGCCUCCAGGCAAGGCCCGUGCUGCUGACAGGGUUGACAAGCAAAGCCUGCUCUCGCCUAAAAAGACAGGUGCUGUUUUGCAGUUAAAUGAGCCUUUAGACCUGCUUCCUGUCACUGGUCGGUUGACAGCCCUGGAGAGGGUACAUGUCCUUGGCUCUCAGUCUGCUGAGCACAGGGGCUGGAGGACGGAGGCAAGGGUGGCAGAGGCCUGGCCCCACUUUCCAAGCUCUGUUUGGAUGCUGUGAGGGGGCUGAGUGGUUACGGUUCAGCUCUUCAUUCCUCCUAAUGAAGAAUUGGCCUUAAUUGCACCUCAUUCUUCUCCAGAGGAAAUUUAACAAAGGGCUGGGGCUGUACAAUCUGCCAGCCAACCUCUCCUGCUUGUGCCAAGCACCAGGGAGCAAAGAGGUCAGGCAGAGGCUCACACAGCAACCAGGAGCCAACAGUCUGACCAACAAGGCCUGGAAACGGGGAGAAAUCAAUAGCCAUGAGACAUGGCCAUUAGCAGUUUGGCUUCUGGGAAACGUUACUAGAUAGGAGAUCUUUGAUUAAUACUACUAAGGACAGGAAUCCGGCCCACCCAGAGCUAGACAUCUGCUGCUUAGUGGAAAUGCCAGGAGGGAAACCAUGUAUGCAGACACUACCAAAGAGCCAGAUAUAUUUUGCAGUCACCAAAUGGGGUGGGUGCAGGUGCAGUGGUUCAGCCCAACCUUUCUCAAAGGAGUCUGGCAUCUAUCAGGACGUGCCUCAGCAGGUUAGCCGAAGAUAAAGAAUUAUCUUUCCACUGGUAUUCACUGCAUGGCUUGUAGUUCCUAGAUCAUGAGAAACAGUAAAAAUUCACCCUGUCAGUUGUCUUUCUUCUAGGCUGCCAAGUCCUACUUACUUAAUUUCUUCUCAUGAAAAAAGAUAUUCUGUACUUCUCCACUUCUGCUCUCUGUACCUUGUCUCAUCUCCUCUUACAUCCUUAUUGAGAUGACAGCAAUUAUCACAGACAUGGAUUCAUCAUGGAUUUAUGUGGCGACACAAUACGAUUCUUGAUCAUUUUCCCAGUCUUCUGUUUGCC